GUGUCAGCAGCCGCGGUAAUACGUAGGGGGCAAGCGUUGUCCGGAUUUAUUGGGCGUAAAGAGCGUGUAGGUGGCCAAUUAGGUCCGCUGUGAAAACUCGAGGCUCAACCUCGAGAUGUCGGUGGAAACCAAUUGGCUAGAGUCCGGAAGAGGAGAGUGGAAUUCCUGGUGUAGCGGUGAAAUGCGCAGAUAUCAGGAAGAACACCAAUGGCGAAGGCAGCUCUCUGGGACGGUACUGACACUGAGACGCGAAAGCGUGGGGAGCGAACAGGAUUAGAUACCCUGGUAGUCC
RNAcentral lists this ribosomal RNA (292 nucleotides) under uncultured bacterium. Its description in RNAcentral is "partial 16S ribosomal RNA". It matches the Rfam family "Bacterial small subunit ribosomal RNA", at positions 505 to 796 of the family's 1533-position model. The record is from RNAcentral.